Molecule: ribosomal RNA, 497 nt
Filed under: uncultured bacterium
Lineage: Bacteria
Description: partial 16S ribosomal RNA
Rfam family: Bacterial small subunit ribosomal RNA
Source: RNAcentral
GAUGAACGCUGGCGGCGUGCCUAAUACAUGCAAGUCGAGCGAACGGACGAGAAGCUUGCUUCUCUGGUGUUAGCGGCGGACGGGUGAGUAACACGUGGAUAACCUACCUAUAAGACUGGGAUAACUUCGGGAAACCGGAGCUAAUACCGGAUAAUAUUUUGAACCGCAUGGUUCAAAAGUGAAAGACGGUCUUGCUGUCACUUAUAGAUGGAUCCGCGCUGCAUUAGCUAGUUGGUAAGGUAACGGCUUACCAAGGCAACGAUGCAUAGCCGACCUGAGAGGGUGAUGGGCCACGCUGGAACUGAGACACGGUCCAGACUCCUACGGGAGGCGGCAGAAGGGAAUCUUCCGCGAUGGGCGAGAGCCUGACGGGGCAACGCCGCGUGAGUGAUGAAGGUCUUCGGAUCGUAAAACUCUGUUAUUAGGGAAGAACAUAUGUGUAAGUAACUGUGCACAUCUUGACGGUACCUAAUCAGAAAGCCACGGCUAACUACGUG